Oncorhynchus keta (chum salmon) is the source of this 1649-nucleotide long non-coding RNA. RefSeq lists it as uncharacterized. The record is from RefSeq and is a predicted model, not a curated record. The transcript has 3 exons. NCBI's taxonomy places the organism in Eukaryota, Metazoa, Chordata, Actinopteri, Salmoniformes, Salmonidae.
AUCACAUUUGAUGGACAAUUUAUGCAGAAAUCCAGGUCAUUCCACAGGGUUCACAUACUUUGUCUUGCCACUGUAGCACCAAAAACUCAUUUAGUCCUGCUUCUCUGUUGUUCCUCUGCAGCAGACAUACAGGGGUCAUACAGGGGUCAUACAGGGGUCAUACAGGGGUCAUACUUACCAGCUUACCAACCAAUUCCUCUGUUCCUCUGCAGCAGACAUACAGGGGUCAUACAGGGUCAUACUUACCAGCUUACCAACCAAUUCCUCUGUUCCUCUGCAGCAGACAUACAGGGGUCAUACAGGGGUCAUACUUACCAGCUUACCAACCAAUUCCUCUGUUCCUCUACAGCAGACAUACAGGGGUCAUACAGGGGUCAUACUUACCAACAUUAGAACACGUUUAAGGUUAAGUUUAGGCAUCAGCCAAUUGAAGUCGUUGACGUCGUGUCACGUGAUAGAACGCUCACUACAUUGUAGCUGGUCCCAUCAGGUAACCUGCCACACGUUAGCCCUGUGCUAACCUCCCCAUCAGGUAACCUGCCACACGUUAGCCCUAUGCUAACCUCCCCAUCAGGUAACCUGCCACACGUUAGCCCUAUGCUAACCUCCCCAUCAGGUAACCUGCCACACGUUAGCCCUAUGCUAACCUCCCCAUCAGGUAACCUGCCACACGUUAGCCCUAUGCUAACCUCCCCAUCAGGUAACCUGCCACACGUUAGCCCUAUGCUAACCUCCCCAGGGGCAGUCAUUAUUUCCUGUAACAUCUUCCUCAUCAGCCUAUCAAAUAUCUUCCAAAUCUUUUUCUCCACAAAUCAACAAAGCAUUUCUUGAAAUGGUUCAACUCGGCCACCAGGGGAAUUUUAUAAACAUCCAAAGUGGAGGUUUACUUUUGUUCCACUUGGGUCUGUCACAACUACCGAUAUGCUGCAUGAUGGGUCCUUGACUAAGCUACGAGCUACUGAAGAUUGAACAAAUUCUAAAUGCAUGUUUUCUCACAUAUGACAAGCUGUUGCUUAUCCGUUUAACACACAGUCCAUGUGCUUUUAGUGAAUAAAGGACGUCUAUACAAGAGGUACAUAGUAGAAAAGAAGUCAAACGGGUGACAUCACUGCCAAGUGGCGUUCAGCAGCGCUAAGGCUCUUAACUCUGAUUCUCUGGGUUACAGGAACCACGGGUUCGAGUCCCCCUCAAGUCUGAUUCUCUGGGUUACAGGAACCACGGGUUCGAGUCACCCUCAAGUCUGAUUCUCUGGGUUACAGGAACCACGGGUUCGAGUCCCCCUCAAGUCUGAUUCUCUGGGUUACAGGAACCACGGGUUCGAGUCCCCCUCAAGUCUGAUUCUCUGGGUUACAGGAACCACGGGUUCGAGUCCCCCUCAAGUCUGAUUCUCUGGGUUACAGGAAUCACGGGUUCGAGUCCCCCUCAAGUCUGAUUCUCUGGGUUACAGGAACCACGGGUUCGAGUCCCCCUCAAGUCUGAUUCUCUGGGUUACAGGAACCACGGGUUCGAGUCCCCCUCAAGUCUGAUUCUCUGGGUUACAGGAACCACGGGUUCGAGUCCCCCUCAAGUCGGGCGUUUUUGUUGUUGUUAAAGAAACAACUGUUCACUGCUGGUCCUCAGUGCUUGACUCAAAUUAGGCAGAUGUGACA